Molecule: ribosomal RNA, 913 nt
Filed under: Endomelanconiopsis endophytica
Lineage: Eukaryota; Fungi; Ascomycota; Dothideomycetes; Botryosphaeriales; Botryosphaeriaceae
Description: LSU rRNA
Rfam family: Eukaryotic large subunit ribosomal RNA
Source: RNAcentral
UUAAGCAUAUCAAUAAGCGGAGGAAAAGAAACCAACUGGGAUUGCCUUAGUAACGGCGAGUGAAGCGGCAAUAGCUCAAAUUUGAAAGCUGGCUCCUUCGGAGUCCGCGUUGUAAUUUGUAGAGGAUGCUUCGGCAAGGGCUCCCGUCUAAGUCCCCUGGAACGGGGCGUCACAGAGGGUGAGAAUCCCGUAUGUGAUGGGUUGCCUAAGCCAUGUGAAGCUCCUUCGACGAGUCGAGUUGUUUGGGAAUGCAGCUCUAAAUGGGAGGUAAAUUUCUUCUAAAGCUAAAUACCGGCCAGAGACCGAUAGCGCACAAGUAGAGUGAUCGAAAGAUGAAAAGCACUUUGGAAAGAGAGUUAAAAAGUACGUGAAAUUGUUGAAAGGGAAGCGCUUGCAGCCAGACUUGUCCGCAGUUGCUCAGCCGGUCUCUUGACCGGCGUACUCUUCUGCGGCCAGGCCAGCAUCAGUUCGGGCGGUCGGAUAAAGGUCCUGGGAAUGUAGCUCCCCUCGGGGAGUGUUAUAGCCCAGGGCGCAAUGCGGCCAGCCUGGACUGAGGAUCUCGCUUCGGCUAGGAUGCUGGCGUAAUGGCUGUAAGCGGCCCGUCUUGAAACACGGACCAAGGAGUCUAACAUCUAUGCGAGUGUUUGGGUGUCAAACCCAUGCGCGUAAUGAAAGUGAACGGAGGUGGGAACCCUCACGGGUGCACCAUCGACCGAUCCUGAUGUCUUCGGAUGGAUUUGAGUAAGAGCAUAGCUGUUGGGACCCGAAAGAUGGUGAACUAUGCCUGAAUAGGGUGAAGCCAGAGGAAACUCUGGUGGAGGCUCGCAGCGGUUCUGACGUGCAAAUCGAUCGUCAAAUUUGGGUAUAGGGGCGAAAGACUAAUCGAACCAUCUAGUAGCUGGUUCCUGCCGAA